GCAUUGGGAACUGAGUGGACUGGA
This 24-nucleotide non-coding RNA is filed under the name Cricetulus griseus (Chinese hamster). Lineage: Eukaryota; Metazoa; Chordata; Mammalia; Rodentia; Cricetidae. The record is from RNAcentral.